This 585-nucleotide ribosomal RNA is filed under the name uncultured bacterium. Its description in RNAcentral is "bacterial SSU rRNA". It matches the Rfam family "Bacterial small subunit ribosomal RNA", at positions 338 to 916 of the family's 1533-position model. The record is from RNAcentral.
CUUACGGGAGGCAGCAGUGGGGAAUUUUGGACAAUGGGGGCAACCCUGAUCCAGCAAUACCGCGUGCAGGAAGAAGCCCUUCGGGUUGUAAACUGCUUUUGUACGGAAGGAAACGGUAAGAGUUAAUACCUCUUGCUAAUGACGGUCCCGUAAGAAUAAGCACCGGCUAAUUACGUGCCAGCAGCCGCGGUAAUACGUAGGGUGCAAGCGUUAAUCGGAAUUACUGGGCGUAAAGCGUGCGCAGGCGGUUUUGUAAGACAGGCGUGAAAUCCCCGGGUUCAACCUGGGAAUGGCGCUUGUGACUGCAAGGCUCGAGUACGGCAGAGGGGGAUGGAAUUCCGCGUGUAGCAGUGAAAUGCGUAGAUAUGCGGAGGAACACCGAUGGCGAAGGCAGUCCCCUGGGCCUGUACGGACGCUCAUGCAGGAAAGCGUGGGGAGCAAACAGGAUUAGAUCCCCUGGUAGUCCACCCCUUAAACGAUGUCAACUGGUUGUUGGGUCUUCACUGACUCAGUAACGAAGCUAACGCGUGAAGUUGACCGCCUGGGGAGUACGGCCGCAAGGUUGAAACUCAAAGGAAUUGACGG